This 371-nucleotide ribosomal RNA is filed under the name uncultured bacterium. RNAcentral describes it as "bacterial SSU rRNA". It matches the Rfam family "Bacterial small subunit ribosomal RNA", at positions 28 to 402 of the family's 1533-position model. The record is from RNAcentral.
GACGAACGCUGGCGGCGUGCUUAACACAUGCAAGUCGAACGCUGAUCCACUUUCGGGUGGGGAUGAGUGGCGAACGGGUGAGUAACACGUGGGUAAUCUGCCCUGCACUCUGGGAUAAGCCUUGGAAACGAGGUCUAAUACCGGAUAUCACAAUCUCUCGCAUGGGGGGUUGUUGAAAGUUCUGGCGGUGCAGGAUGAACCCGCGGCCUAUCAGCUUGUUGGGGGGUAGUGGCCUACCAAGGCGACGACGGGUAGCCGGCCUGAGAGGGUGACCGGCCACACUGGGACUGAGACACGGCCCAGACUCCUACGGGAGGCAGCAGUGGGGAAUAUUGCACAAUGGGCGCAAGCCUGAUGCAGCGACGCCGCGU